AAUUGCUAGAAAAUUAUUGACUAAAGGAAGUCCAGUGGAAGAACCACAUUGUUCAUGAUGGAAAAGAGGAAAACUUUCUUUUUGGCUAUCUUGACUACUGGCUAUUUCUCUUGUAAGGAUUAGUCUAAGAACAUUAGGGAGGGAGUAAGCAUUUUGAUUUUCAAGGGAACCAACAAGCCAACAAGACUAUGUUUUCUAAAUAUAGGGAUUUAAAAAAUCUCUUAGGUUUCUGACAGAUGAGAUUCACUACCUCAACUAAAAUGACUACCUGUUGAAUCGAUAUUUUACUGUUCCAAGAACUUUAUCAAAUAGGUUCAGACCUGGGAUUUUUAAGAGAUGUUUUUGCUGAAAUUACAUUUAAGGACAUGGAGUGUGAUUACUAUAUAGAUAUGGCAUAUCAGGAGAAACGUGUAUGUUCCAUAAGAGUCAGUCCAAUUUGUGCCUCUAAUAACAUUACAUAUCCUAAUUCCUGUGUGCUCUGCUUUGUUAAACUAGCCACCAACUUCAACGUUAAAAUUAAACACAGUGGGAAAUGCAAACCAUGAUGUGCAUUUUCUUCAUUUGUCAUGAGUGAACCCAUUUGACUUAGGCAUCAUCCUUCCUUCAAAACUCAAAAUGUUUGUAUCACUUUAAUUAAAACAAUACCAAUAAAUGUUA
Molecule: RNA transcript, 657 nt
Organism: Erinaceus europaeus (western European hedgehog)
Lineage: Eukaryota; Metazoa; Chordata; Mammalia; Eulipotyphla; Erinaceidae
Gene name: ovomucoid-like
Exons: 4
Source: RefSeq, a predicted model, not a curated record